Molecule: ribosomal RNA, 443 nt
Filed under: uncultured bacterium
Lineage: Bacteria
Description: bacterial SSU rRNA
Rfam family: Bacterial small subunit ribosomal RNA
Source: RNAcentral
AACGCGAAGAACCUUACCCAGACUUGACAUUGAUGGGAUCCCUUAGAAAUAGGGGAGUACUCUUCGGAGACCUGAAAACAGGUGCUGCAUGGCUGUCGUCAGCUCGUGUCGUGAGAUGUUGGGUUAAGUCCCGCAACGAGCGCAACCCUUGCCGUUAGUUGCCAUCAGGUAAUGCUGGGCACUCUAGCGGGACUGCCGGUGUCAAACCGGAGGAAGGUGGGGAUGACGUCAAGUCCUCAUGGCCUUUAUGUCUGGGGCUACACACGUGCUACAAUGGCAUCUACAAACCGAUGCGAACUCGCGAGGGGAAGCAAAUCGGAAAAAAGAUGUCUCAGUUCGGAUCGAAGUCUGCAACUCGACUUCGUGAAGUCGGAAUCGCUAGUAAUCGUGGAUCAGCAUGCCACGGUGAAUACGUUCCCGGGCCUUGUACACACCGACUGUAC